This 495-nucleotide ribosomal RNA is filed under the name uncultured bacterium. Its description in RNAcentral is "partial 16S ribosomal RNA". It matches the Rfam family "Bacterial small subunit ribosomal RNA", at positions 28 to 507 of the family's 1533-position model. The record is from RNAcentral.
GAUGAACGCUGGCGGCGUGCCUAAUACAUGCAAGUAGAACGCUGAAGGAGGAGCUUGCUCUUCUGGAUGAGUUGCGAACGGGUGAGUAACGCGUAGGUAACCUGCCUGGUAGCGGGGGAUAACUAUUGGAAACGAUAGCUAAUACCGCAUGACAACAGUUAUUGCAUGAUAACUGUUUAAAAGGGGCAACUGCUCCACUACCAGAUGGACCUGCGUUGUAUUAGCUAGUUGGUGAGGUAACGGCUCACCAAGGCGACGAUACAUAGCCGACCUGAGAGGGGGAUCGGCCACACUGGGACUGAGACACGGCCCAGACUCCUACGGGAGGCAGCAGUAGGGAAUCUUCGGCAAUGGACGGAAGUCUGACCGAGCAACGCCGCGUGAGUGAAGAAGGGUUUCGGAUCGUAAAGCUCUGUUGUAAGAGAAGAACGAGUGUGAGAGUGGAAAGUUCACACUGUGACGGUAUCUUACCAGAAAGAGACGGCUAACUACGUG